CAGGUGACGAAGCUUAUGGAAAAAAAGACCAAAGGCCUCGAGGGUGACUUCUUCCCAGGGAUGUUCUUCUUGACCCCCCGGGGCAAACGGAGGUGUCAGCGUCAGGAGCCAUCCUAACUGAGGCCCUGGCUCCCUCUUUCCCUUCGGUCGCCGUGGGUGUGCCGGACGCCUCU
Molecule: long non-coding RNA, 173 nt
Organism: Pipra filicauda (Wire-tailed manakin)
Lineage: Eukaryota; Metazoa; Chordata; Aves; Passeriformes; Pipridae
Exons: 3
Source: RefSeq, a predicted model, not a curated record